This 432-nucleotide ribosomal RNA is filed under the name uncultured bacterium. RNAcentral's name for it is "partial 16S ribosomal RNA". It matches the Rfam family "Bacterial small subunit ribosomal RNA", at positions 29 to 507 of the family's 1533-position model. The record is from RNAcentral.
AGCGAACGCUGGCGGCAGGCCUAACACAUGCAAGUCGAACGAACUCUUCGGAGUUAGUGGCGGACGGGUGAGUAACACGUGGGAACGUGCCUUUUGGUUCGGAAUAACUCAGGGAAACUUGUGCUAAUACCGAAUGUGCCCUUCGGGGGAAAGAUUAUCGCCAUUAGAGCGGCCCGCGUCUGAUUAGCUAGUUGGUGAGGUAACGGCCCACCAAGGCGACGAUCAGUAGCUGGUCUGAGAGGAUGACCAGCCACACUGGGACUGAGACACGGCCCAGACUCCUACGGGAGGCAGCAGUGGGGAAUCUUGCGCAAUGGGCGAAAGCCUGACGCAGCCAUGCCGCGUGAAUGAUGAAGGUCUUAGGAUUGUAAAAUUCUUUCACCGGGGACGAUAAUGACGGUACCCGGAGAAGAAGCCCCGGCUAACUUCGUG